Molecule: ribosomal RNA, 144 nt
Filed under: Chelon auratus (golden grey mullet)
Lineage: Eukaryota; Metazoa; Chordata; Actinopteri; Mugiliformes; Mugilidae
Description: partial small subunit ribosomal RNA
Source: RNAcentral
AACUGGGAUUAGAUACCCCACUAUGCUCAGCCCUAAACUUUGAUAGUCUAACUACACUCACUAUCCGCCUGGGUACUACGAGCUUUAGCUUAAAACCCAAAGGACUUGGCGGUGCUUAAGAUCCCCCUAGAGGAGCCUGUUCUA